CGCUUGUCACCGCGGUUGCCGCGUUGCUGGCGCUGGCGCCGCUGGCGAAGGCGGAUCCUCUCACCGCCUAUGAUGUGCAGUUCAUCAACGCGCUA
Molecule: transfer RNA, 95 nt
Filed under: Mycobacterium triplex
Lineage: Bacteria; Bacillati; Actinomycetota; Actinomycetes; Mycobacteriales; Mycobacteriaceae
Also listed under: 1 other name
Description: tRNA-Ala
Source: RNAcentral